UACAGAGGUGGCAAGCGUUGUUCGGAAUUCCUGGGCGUAAAGGGCGCGUAGGCGGCCUACUAAGUCAGACGUGAAAUCCCCCGGCUUAACCUGGGAACUGCGUCUGGUACUGGAAGGCUCGAGUAUGGGAGAGGGAUGUAGAAUUCCAGGCGUAGCGGUGAAAUGCGUAGAUAUCUGGAGGAAUACCGGUGGCGAAGGCGGCAUCCUGGACCAGUACUGACGCUGAGGCGCGAAAGCUAGGGGAGCAAACGGG
This 253-nucleotide ribosomal RNA is filed under the name uncultured bacterium. RNAcentral describes it as "partial 16S ribosomal RNA". It matches the Rfam family "Bacterial small subunit ribosomal RNA", at positions 524 to 776 of the family's 1533-position model. The record is from RNAcentral.